CAUUAUUACCCUUCAUAAGAUCCUCAUCCAAACCUGAGCCACUUUAGUUGGUACUGCUAGGCAUACGAGGAGGUUAGCCUUUGUACUCCAUAUAUUACAACUGUCAUUAUCUUGAAUUGAUAUAGUUUAUGAGAAAACGCACGCACUCUUUGGCAAUGGAAUUUAAAAUMGCAAUGGUCCUGGUUCUCCUAGUUUGUACAGAGAUGGUUUCAUCACGAGCAGUCAAGCAUAUCGAGAAGCGUGAUGUGGAUUGCUACAAUCGACUUGGGGACUGGUGUUUUCUYAACAGYGACUGUCCCAUGUACUGYGAUUCMUAUGAUGUCAUGUGCAUCUAUGGCCAAUGCUUGACAUACGGGAACUCYUUGCCUUACAGAAAAAAGCGAURAAUAAAGACASAAAMUAAAGAACUGAAAAAUACUACACAGUCAUUUGGAACAUUAUAAAAACGAAAUAGAGUGAACCAAGAGAACAUUUAUAGGGCGUUGAAAUGAUAAACGCAUCAGCUAAUAUUGAAUUAUGUMAACUUGUAUAUGAAUAGAAGAAGCAAUAACGUAUUACUGCUUCUAAUGSAGCCUCUAAAACAUACAGUGGUAGAAAAGGAUUCGAACCCAUGACGGCAUAUUACUCCUGGCUUAAGUCCGAUCUAGGGCUCGAUUCUCGUUCUAAGCCUGAUAAUUUUUAAMGGCUCAUUGUAGAUAUAGGUAAUUAUGAAUUACACAUAUGACACGGAGGYCGAUUGUACGAAGGAUGGACAACCACUCCAUACUAUUUUGUUUUCGAUUUUAUAGCGCUAUUCACCUUCGUGCAACCACGCCACACAUCCGAAACUCGCCUUUUAGAUGUUCCAAGCAAUUCUGUAAAUUUUUGUGUGAAUUUCACUAUUMAAUUAUUAACAAUUUCAUAUACACACACAUCUAUAAUACAUCUAUAAUAAAUGCUGUAUACAACUAUAUAUAUGACUAUAAUCAUAUCAUAGUAAAGAAACCUAAAAUGAAAAGACGACAAAUAAACUAAAACUCCUUGCUA
Exaiptasia diaphana is the source of this 1026-nucleotide long non-coding RNA. RefSeq lists it as uncharacterized. The record is from RefSeq and is a predicted model, not a curated record. The transcript has 2 exons. NCBI's taxonomy places the organism in Eukaryota, Metazoa, Cnidaria, Anthozoa, Actiniaria, Aiptasiidae.